This 442-nucleotide long non-coding RNA is filed under the name Urocitellus parryii (Arctic ground squirrel). RNAcentral's name for it is "lncRNA (ENSUPAG00010008437.1)". The record is from RNAcentral. Lineage: Eukaryota; Metazoa; Chordata; Mammalia; Rodentia; Sciuridae.
CACGCGGCCGGGCCGCGGCAGGGGUGGCGCGGGCGCUGGCGGCCCCGGCGCGGCGCGGCGGCAGGUGGGCGCGCUCUCGCGGGCGGGGGUCCGGCCGGGCCGCGCGCCUCCCCCGGAACUCGGCCGUGCCAUUCCCAUGAUGCCCAGCCACCGGGCACGGCUUCCGGAGCGCGGCCGCCGCCGCCGCCGCCGCGGGUUGGUGGAGAGGACCCUCCUGCCGCGGCCCCCUAGCAGAUGGGCUCCUCCUCUCCUCUCCAGCGUGCAGACCCUGGCUUCCCCUAACCCUAGGAAAAGCCCCACCUGGAAGUGGAAUGUGUGUUCAAGCAGCUGGCAGAGGGCACCUCUCCCUGAGCACGGAGUGACGAAGGCAGCCUUGAAGCCUUUGAACAGGAGCCUGGACUCGAAGAGAAUUUCAAGAGUGAGGUGGUCCUGCCAAGAAUGA